UUUCCGUAGGUGAACCUGCGGAAGGAUCAUUACAACAAGGUUCCCUGGCCCUCGAAGCUUCGGCGGAGGGGUGCUACAGCCUGACUUUAUACCCACCCUUUGCCUAUGUGUACCCCUAUUGCUUCCCUCGGCGGGUUCGCCCGCCGACAGGAACCAACUAAACCCUUUGCAUUAUACAUUUAACACUUCCGAUACAAAACUAAAUUAUUACAACUUUUAACAAUGGAUCUCUUGGUUCUG
RNAcentral lists this unclassified non-coding RNA (240 nucleotides) under Periconia sp. Its description in RNAcentral is "partial contains small subunit ribosomal RNA, internal transcribed spacer 1, and 5.8S ribosomal RNA". The record is from RNAcentral. Lineage: Eukaryota; Fungi; Ascomycota; Dothideomycetes; Pleosporales; Periconiaceae. RNAcentral also lists the same sequence under 1 other name.